AUGGCUUCGCGCGACUGGCGAUCAGGAUCAUGACGCCCUGCUACAGGGCGAUGGUUUGAGGUGGUGGACCACCGGGGAGCGCGAACGGUUCAUGGAUUUGGUCCUGAACUGAAUUUGCCGUUCGCCUGGGCCGUCCUG
Paucibacter sp. KCTC 42545 is the source of this 138-nucleotide regulatory RNA element. It matches the Rfam family "ZMP/ZTP riboswitch aptamer (pfl RNA motif)". Rfam says of the family: Previously known as pfl RNA. Lineage: Bacteria; Pseudomonadati; Pseudomonadota; Betaproteobacteria; Burkholderiales; Sphaerotilaceae. The record is from Rfam.